GACGAACGCUGGCGGCGUGCUUAACACAUGCAAGUCGAACGAAGUGGCGAACGGGUGGGUAAUACGUGGGUAACCUGCCCUCCUUUUUGGGAUAAGCCUUGGCAACGGGGUCUAAUCCCGAAUAAAUGGGGAUGGGCUCGCGGCCUGUCGUCUUGUGGGUGGGGUGAUGGGCUACCAAGGCGGUGACGGGUAGCCGGCCUGAGAGGGUGACCGGCCACAGUGAGACGGCGAGACGGCCCAGACGAGUAAGGGGUGGAGCAGUGGGGGAUAUUGCACAAGGGGCGAAAGCGUGAUGCAGCGACGCCGCGUGGGGGAUGAAGGCCGUAGAGUUGUAAACCUAUAUCGCUAGAGAACGGGUAGGUGGAGAAGAAGCGCCGGCUAACUACGUGCCAGCAGCCGCGGUAAUAC
RNAcentral lists this ribosomal RNA (408 nucleotides) under uncultured bacterium. RNAcentral describes it as "partial 16S ribosomal RNA". It matches the Rfam family "Bacterial small subunit ribosomal RNA", at positions 28 to 526 of the family's 1533-position model. The record is from RNAcentral.